Molecule: ribosomal RNA, 497 nt
Filed under: uncultured bacterium
Lineage: Bacteria
Description: partial 16S ribosomal RNA
Rfam family: Bacterial small subunit ribosomal RNA
Source: RNAcentral
GAUGAACGCUGGCGGCGUGCCUAAUACAUGCAAGUCGAGCGAACAGACGAGGAGCUUGCUCCUCUGACGUUAGCGGCGGACGGGUGAGUAACACGUGGAUAACCUACCUAUAAGACUGGGAUAACUUCGGGAAACCGGAGCUAAUACCGGAUAAUAUAUUGAACCGCAUGGUUCAAUAGUUAAAGACGGUUUUGCUGUCACUUAUAGAUGUAUCCGCGCCGCAUUAGCUAGUUGGUAAGGUAACGGCUUACCAAGGCAACGAUGCGUAGCCGACCUGAGAGGGUGAUCGGCCAAACUGGAACUGAGACACGGUCCAGAAUCCUACGGGAGGCAGCAGUAGGGAAUCUUCCGCAAUGGGCGAAAGCCUGACGGAGCAACGCCGCGUGAGUGAUGAAGGUCUUCGGAUCGUAAAACUCUGUUAUUAGGGAAGAACAAAUGUGUAAGUAACUAUGCACGUCUUGACGGUACCUAAUCAGAAAGCCACGGCUAACUACGUG